UGGGGUAUAGCUGAGUGGAAAAGCAGUCCGCUGUUAACGGAAAGAUCGUAGGUAACGCCUACGGCGACGCUUCGCGAACGAUUCCUACUACCCCAGCCA
This 99-nucleotide transfer RNA is filed under the name Phormidesmis sp. RL_2_1. RNAcentral's name for it is "tRNA-Asn". It matches the Rfam family "tRNA". From Rfam's summary of the family: Transfer RNA (tRNA) molecules are approximately 80 nucleotides in length. The record is from RNAcentral. Lineage: Bacteria; Bacillati; Cyanobacteriota; Cyanophyceae; Leptolyngbyales; Leptolyngbyaceae.